GUCUAUGGCCAUAACACUCUGAAUGCGCCCAAUCUUAUCUAAUCUUGGAAGUUAAUCAGGGUCCAGCCUGCUUAGUACUUGGAUGGGAGACAUCAGGAUCAGCAGGAAGCAGGCC
Mesocricetus auratus (golden hamster) is the source of this 115-nucleotide ribosomal RNA. The record is from Ensembl. Lineage: Eukaryota; Metazoa; Chordata; Mammalia; Rodentia; Cricetidae.